ACCUCGUUAUUUGCUUGAACGGCCGGUUGGCUCGUUUCGUUGAUCGGGGUCCGUAUUUUUUUUUAUCUUCCAUAGGAGACGAGCUUCAGAACCCUAACCUGGUUCUGCUUCCGCCAUAGCUACGUUCGCUGCUCGAUCCGAGGUGCAUCGAGUAAAACUGACCUCUACAGGGCAAGGGCUGUGAUCGCGCAGGGCGAGCGGCGAUGGGGAAAAAGAAGAAGCGACCUUCGAAGGUGUGGUGCUACUACUGCGACAGGGAGUUCGACGACGAGAAGAUCCUCGUCCAGCACCAGAAAGCCAAGCACUUCAAGUGCCAUGUAUGCCAAAAAAAACUAUCCACCGCUGGAGGCAUGGCCAUCCACGUCCUCCAGGUCCAUAAGGAGACUGUGACCAAGGUUCCUAAUGCUAUGGCUGACAGAGAUUCAACAGACAUUGAGAUUUAUGGUAUGCAAGGAAUUCCUCCUGAUAUCUUGGCAGCUCAUUAUGGGGAAGAUGAAGAUACAGUGGCAAAGACAGCUAAAGUGGAAGUUCCAUCUACUGGUUUUGUUGGCGGAGCAAUUCCUGGUGCAUUUGGCAUUAGAUUUCCUCCCCGACCUGUAUAUGCUGGCGUUCCUCCUGUUUAUAAUCCAGCCCUUCCAUUUCAGCAUCCAACAUGGCCUAUUCCAGCUAUUCGUCCAAAUCCUUGGUUUCCUUCACAAGUAUCUGUUCCAUUUCCCCCACCUGUUGUUGCUACACAGCAGCCCCUGUUUCCUAUCCAGAGUGCAACAACUCCUUUGGCCUCCACUUCUACCUCUGGACUCCCGACACCUCCUCAAGCUGAUCCGCCCACAGCUACACCGCUUUUGGUAUCUCAACCUCUAUUUCCAAUCAAUAGUCCAGCUGGUGUACCUGCAAAAUCAUCACCAACAAUCUCUUCAGCCUCCCCAACAAUGUUGAAAGGUGUAGCUGAUGCAAAUUCAGGAUUGCAUACUGCUAUAGAAGGUGGUUAUGCCACUCAAAACAAUCCAGGUGGUGUUUCAUAUGCAAACUCACAUAUGUAUGCUUCUGGUCCAAAUACUGGGAACCCUUCAAUUGGGCCACCUCCUGUGAUAUCAAAUAAACCCCCAGCUUCCCAUCCUACUACAACUGAGGUCUACUUGGCCUGGGAUGACGAGGCAAUGUCAAUGGAAGAAAGAAGAAUGUCCCGAACAAAGUAUCAGGUGCAUGAUGAAACUAGCCAGGUAAGUUAUUACUGGCUUCUGUUAUUCAUUCUGAUUUAUGCCAAAUAGAUUUGCAAUUAGGGUGCAGAUCCUGAAGGUAGGAACAAAAUGAAAACUUUUUUUUAAACUUCUUUAUGCUAUAUUUCAUGUUCUUAUUGUUGGGUUAAUCCCAUUCCAAUUUAAAUGGUACGCUCUAAUAUGUAUGAAUAAAGCUUUUAUGGACUACGACCCUUUGUAAUAAGUUUUCUUAUUAGGCAGUGUCAAUUUGAAGAGGAGCUUUGGCGCAACGGUAAAGUUGUUGCUUUGUGACCAAAAGGUCACGGAUUCGAAUCCUGAAAACAGUUUCUGGUAAAAAACAGGAUAAGGCUGCGUAUAAUAAAUCCUUCCCUGGAAUCCCACAUGGCGGGAGCUUUGUGUACCGGGCUAUCCUUUUUUUUUUAACUAGGUAGUGCCAAUUUAAUUUUGACCUUGGGAUGAGUAAGAAAAACAUAUCUUGAUUUCUUUCCAAUUCUUUGGAACCUCCAAAGUUUUCAAAUACCUUCUCACAUUAUUUCUCCUGCAAGUAAGUUUUACAAAACUAACAAGCUUGUGCUGCAAAUCAACGAGGGGUCGCAACCUAGCACCAGGCCUAUGCGAAAAUGCGUAUGUACCAAGUUCUGAUUUAGUUUUUGAUUUUCUGUGUUGUAUGUCUUAUCGUUAUUGCUUUUUAAUAAGUGUGGGGCUUGAGUGGGACAACAAGAAUUUCUUGUUUACUGUUUUUGAUCACAUUGGCGACCAGAAUUGGUUCAGAUGAACUCGAUUGAUGCGGCCAUAGACAGAAGGAUAUCUGAAAGCCAACUUGCUGGCCAUAUGACUUUCUAAACCCCAUGUUAUCGUGGGGAGUUAGCGAGAUUACUUGGCAUUCUCAGAACGGCUCAAAUCAUGGAGCUACAAGGUGUGUUUUCUAUCCAGUGUUAGAUGAUCAGAUUACUUGGAGGCUGAUUGGGUUUGUGCCUUCUGCAGGCAUUCAUAUGAAGGAUAUAGAUUCCAAUUUGAUGUCUAUAAUCUAGAAUAGGUUGUUGUUGAAAAGAUUGUUUCUGUUGUGAGUUCUUGAGUAAGGUGUCAAUUCUUAAAUUUAUCUAGUCAUCUUAUAUAUAAACCGCAGGUUAGGUGCUGAAAAUAUUUUGGAAUGGCUAGUAACUGUGAUUGUAAUACAUUUCUAAUUUUCCUUUUU
RNA transcript from Zingiber officinale, 2412 nucleotides. It is a transcript of the gene named protein SUPPRESSOR OF FRI 4-like, with no coding region annotated. The transcript has 7 exons. The record is from RefSeq and is a predicted model, not a curated record. Lineage: Eukaryota; Viridiplantae; Streptophyta; Magnoliopsida; Zingiberales; Zingiberaceae.